UGAGGCACGAAAAGUGUGGGUAGCAAACAGGAUUAGAUAACCCUGGUAGUCCAACGCCGUAAACGAUGGAUACUAGGUGUAGGGGGUAUCAACUCCCUCUGUGCCGCAGUUAACACAAUAAGUAUCCCGCCUGGGGAGUACGGUCGCAAGAUUAAAACUCAAAGGAAUUGACGGGGGCCCGCACAAGCAGCGGAGCAUGUGGUUUAAUUCGAAGCAACGCGAAGAACCUUACCUGGACUUGACAUCCCUUGCAUAGCCUAGAGAUAGGUGAAGCCCUUCGGGGCAAGGAAACAGGUGGUGCAUGGUUGUCGUCAGCUCGUGUCGUGAGAUGUUAGGUUAAGUCCUGCAACGAGCGCAACCCUUGUUAUUAGUUGCUACCAUUAAGUUGAGCACUCUAAUGAGACUGCCUGGGUAACCAGGAGGAAGGUGGGGAUGACGUCAAAUCAUCAUGCCCCUUAUGUCCAGGGCUACACACGUGCUACAAUGGUAGGUACAAUAAGAGGCAAGACCGUGAGGUGGAGCAAAACUUAUAAAGCCUAUCUCAGUUCGGAUUGUAGGCUGCAACUCGCCUACAUGAAGCUGGAGUUGCUAGUAAUCGCGAAUCAGAAUGUCGCGGUGAAUACGUUCCCGGGCCUUGUACACACCGCCCGUCACACCAUGAGAGCUGGUAACACCCGAAGUCCGUGAGGCAACCGUAAGGAGCCAGCGGCCGAAGGUGGGAUUAGUGAUUGGGGUGAAGUCGUAACAAGGUAGCCGUAGGAGAACCUGCGGCUGGAUCACCUCCUUAAUCG
This 791-nucleotide ribosomal RNA is filed under the name bacterium enrichment culture. Its description in RNAcentral is "bacterial SSU rRNA". It matches the Rfam family "Bacterial small subunit ribosomal RNA", at positions 747 to 1533 of the family's 1533-position model. The record is from RNAcentral.